AAUAUUGGACAAGGGGCGAAAGCCUGAUCCAGCCAUGCAGCGUGUGUGAAGAAGGUCUUCGGAGUGUAAAGCACGUUAAGUCGGGAGGAAGGGCAGUAAGUGAAUACCUUGCUGUUAUGACGUUACCGACAGAAUAAGCACCGACUAACUUCGGGCCAGCAGCCGCGGUAAUACGAAGGGUGCAAGGGUUAAUCGGAAUUACUGGGCGUAAAGCGCGCGUAGGUGGUUCGUUAAGUUGGAAGUGAAAGCCCCGGGCUUAACCUGGGAAUUGCUUUCAAAACUGACGAGCUAGAGUACGGUAGAGGGUAGUGGAAUUUCCUGUGUAGCGGUGAAAUGCGUAGAUAUAGGAAGGAACAUCAGCGGCGAAGGCGACUACCUGGACUGAUACUGACACUGAGGUGCGAAAGCGUGGGGAGCAAACAGG
Molecule: ribosomal RNA, 424 nt
Filed under: uncultured bacterium
Lineage: Bacteria
Description: partial 16S ribosomal RNA
Rfam family: Bacterial small subunit ribosomal RNA
Source: RNAcentral